GACGAACGCUGGCGGCGUGCCUAAUACAUGCAAGUAGAACGCUGAAGCGAGGAGCUUGCUCUUCUUGGAUGAGUUGCGCACGGGUGAGUAACGCGUAGGUAACCUGCCUUGUAGCGGGGGAUAACUAUUGGAAACGAUAGCUAAUACCGCAUAACAAUGGAUGACACAUGUCAUUUAUUUGAAAGGGGCAAUUGCUCCACUACAAGAUGGACCUGCGUUGUAUUAGCUAGUAGGUGAGGUAAUGGCUCACCUAGGCGACGAUACAGAGCCGACCUGAGAGGGGGAGUAGCCGCACUGGGACGGAGACACGGCCCAGUCGCCUACGGGAGGGAGCAGUAGGGAUGCUUGGGGAAGGGGUGCAACACUGAGCGAGAAACGCCGCGGGAGUGAAGAAGGAUGUCGGGUCGGAAAGGUCGGUUGUAAGUAAAGAAAGGGGGUGAGAGUGGAAAGUUCACACUGUGACGGUAGCUGAUCAGAAAGGGACGGCUAACUACGUG
RNAcentral lists this ribosomal RNA (497 nucleotides) under uncultured bacterium. RNAcentral describes it as "partial 16S ribosomal RNA". It matches the Rfam family "Bacterial small subunit ribosomal RNA", at positions 28 to 507 of the family's 1533-position model. The record is from RNAcentral.